RNAcentral lists this transfer RNA (75 nucleotides) under Candidatus Omnitrophota bacterium. RNAcentral describes it as "Candidatus Omnitrophica bacterium (aquatic metagenome) tRNA-Pro". It matches the Rfam family "tRNA". From Rfam's summary of the family: Transfer RNA (tRNA) molecules are approximately 80 nucleotides in length. Their secondary structure includes four short double-helical elements and three loops (D, anti-codon, and T loops). Lineage: Bacteria; Pseudomonadati; Candidatus Omnitrophota. The record is from RNAcentral.
CGGGGAGUAGCGCAGUUUGGCUAGCGCGUUUGAAUGGGGUUCAAAAGGUCGUGGGUUCGAGUCCCACCUCCCCGA